CCUACGGGAGGCAGCAGUGGGGGAUAUUGGACAAUGGGGGAAACCCUGAUCCAGCGACGCCGCGUGAGUGAAGAAGUAUUUCGGUAUGUAAAGCUCUAUCAGCAGGGAAGAAAGAAAUAACGGUACCUGAGUAAGAAGCCGAGGCUAACUACGUGCCAGCAGCCGCGGGAAUACGUAGGGGGCAAGCGUUAUCCGGAAUUACUGGGAGUAAAGGGAGCGUAGACGGUGUUGCAAGUCUGAAGUGAAAGGCGGGGGCUCAACCCCCGGACUGCUCUGGAAACUGUGGAACUUGAGUGUUGGAGAGGUGAGCAGAAUUCCUGGUGUAGCGGUGAAAUGCGUAGAGAUUAGGAGGAACACCAGUGGCGAAGGCGGCUGACUGGACUGUAACUGACGUUGAGGCGCGAAAGCGUGGGGAGCAAACAGGAUUAGAUACCCGAGUAGUC
Molecule: ribosomal RNA, 443 nt
Filed under: uncultured bacterium
Lineage: Bacteria
Description: partial 16S ribosomal RNA
Rfam family: Bacterial small subunit ribosomal RNA
Source: RNAcentral